This 831-nucleotide ribosomal RNA is filed under the name bacterium. Its description in RNAcentral is "bacterial SSU rRNA". It matches the Rfam family "Bacterial small subunit ribosomal RNA", at positions 202 to 1002 of the family's 1533-position model. The record is from RNAcentral.
AGGUGGCUUCGGCUACCACUUACAGAUGGACCCGCGGCGCAUUAGCUAGUUGGUGAGGUAAUGGCUCACCAAGGCAACGAUGCGUAGCCGACCUGAGAGGGUGAUCGGCCACACUGGGACUGAGACACGGCCCAGACUCCUACGGGAGGCAGCAGUAGGGAAUCUUCCGCAAUGGACGAAAGUCUGACGGAGCAACGCCGCGUGAGUGAUGAAGGUUUUCGGAUCGUAAAGCUCUGUUGUUAGGGAAGAACAAGUGCCGUUCAAAUAGGGCGGCACCUUGACGGUACCUAACCAGAAAGCCACGGCUAACUACGUGCCAGCAGCCGCGGUAAUACGUAGGUGGCAAGCGUUGUCCGGAAUUAUUGGGCGUAAAGGGCUCGCAGGCGGGUUUCUUAAGUCUGAUGUGAAAGCCCCCGGCUCAACCGGGGAGGGUCAUUGGAAACUGGGGAACUUGAGUGCAGAAGAGGAGAGUGGAAUUCCACGUGUAGCGGUGAAAUGCGUAGAGAUGUGGAGGAACACCAGUGGCGAAGGCGACUCUCUGGUCUGUAACUGACGCUGAGGAGCGAAAGCGUGGGGAGCGAACAGGAUUAGAUACCCUGGUAGUCCACGCCGUAAACGAUGAGUGCUAAGUGUUAGGGGGGUUUCCGCCCCCUUAGUGCUGCAGCUAACGCAUUAAGCACUCCGCCUGGGGGAGUACGGGUCGCAAAGACUGAAAACUCAAAAGGAAUUUGACGGGGGGCCCGCACAAACCGGUGGAAGCAUGUGGGUUUAAUUCGAAAGCAACGCGAAAGAACCUUUACCAGGGUCUUUGACAUCCCUCUUGACACCCCC